Molecule: ribosomal RNA, 492 nt
Filed under: uncultured bacterium
Lineage: Bacteria
Description: partial 16S ribosomal RNA
Rfam family: Bacterial small subunit ribosomal RNA
Source: RNAcentral
AGUGAACGCUGGCGGUAGGCCUAACACAUGCAAGUCGAACGGCAGCACAGUAAGAGCUUGCUCUUACGGGUGGCGAGUGGCGGACGGGUGAGGAAUACAUCGGAAUCUACUUUUUCGUGGGGGAUAACGUAGGGAAACUUACGCUAAUACCGCAUACGACCUACGGGUGAAAGCAGGGGAUCUUCGGACCUUGCGCGAUUGGAUGAGCCGAUGUCGGAUUAGCUAGUUGGCGGGGUAAAGGCCCACCAAGGCGACGAUCCGUAGCUGGUCUGAGAGGAUGAUCAGCCACACUGGAACUGAGACACGGUCCAGACUCCUACGGGAGGCAGCAGUGGGGAAUAUUGGACAAUGGGCGCAAGCCUGAUCCAGCCAUACCGCGUGGGUGAAGAAGGCCUGCGGGUUGUAAAGCCCUUUUGUUGGGAAAGAAAAGCAGCAGGUUAAUACCCCGCUGUUCUGACGGUACCCAAAGAAUAAGCACCGGCUAACUUCGUG